Molecule: long non-coding RNA, 734 nt
Organism: Hyaena hyaena (striped hyena)
Lineage: Eukaryota; Metazoa; Chordata; Mammalia; Carnivora; Hyaenidae
Exons: 3
Source: RefSeq, a predicted model, not a curated record
GAUCAAGGUGCCAGUCAAUUCAGUUUGUGGUGAGGACUUUUUUCCUAGAUGUAGAUGACCAUCUUCCUUCUGUGUCCUCAUGUGGUAGAGAGGUACAGAGAGCACUUUCUGGUGCCUAUUUUUAUAACGGAACUAAAUCUCUCAUGGGAAUUCAUAAGAUGAACCCUCAUGGCUUCAUCUAAACCUAAUUAAUUCCCUAAGAACCCACUCCCACCAAAUACUAUCACACUAGGGCUUAAGACUUCAACAUAUGAAUUUUGAUGGGACACAAACAUUUAGUCCAUAACAAACUGAUAUAUGCUGGACCAAGAGCCACCAGAGCUAGGGAGAUUCAUGGAAGCCAGGCCAUAUUGAAUAGAAGUUCUAGCCUGUACAGGAAGAAAAAGAAAUAAAUUCUACAAGGAUUGGGAAAACAUAAUAAGUGCUACUGGUCUACGUCUACGUCUCGUCACUUGUACCACUUUGAUACACACCAGCCAACUACCAGGUUUCUAGGCCAUUGUGGGCCUAGUCAAGCACCCUUCUGCCCCAAUAACUAUGUUAGAUAUUGACAGGAAAUUUUUGAGAGAAGAGAACACAAGGUGACUUAGAGAAGACAUGGUUGAAAAAGCCCUGUUACUGAAGCCCUUCUAGGCCAGUUCUUUAGAAAUGAUAAUUGGGCUUCUGCCUCCAGCAAGGGUCAAUCCUUGUCCUUGUGAGAUCUGCAAUAAAAUAUAAAUACUAUGAGAAAAUCA